GAUGAACGCCGGCGGUGUGCCUAAUACAUGCAAGUCGAACGCGUUGGCCCAAUUGAUUGAUGGUGCUUGCACCUGAUUGAUUUUGGUCGCCAACGAGUGGCGGACGGGUGAGUAACACGUAGGUAACCUGCCCAGAAGCGGGGGACAACAUUUGGAAACAGAUGCUAAUACCGCAUAACAGCGUUGUUCGCAUGAACAACGCUUAAAAGAUGGCUUCUCGCUAUCACUUCUGGAUGGACCUGCGGUGCAUUAGCUUGUUGGUGGGGUAAUGGCCUACCAAGGCGAUGAUGCAUAGCCGAGUUGAGAGACUGAUCGGCCACAAUGGGACUGAGACACGGCCCAUACUCCUACGGGAGGCAGCAGUAGGGAAUCUUCCACAAUGGGCGCAAGCCUGAUGGAGCAACACCGCGUGAGUGAAGAAGGGUUUCGGCUCGUAAAGCUCUGUUGUUAAAGAAGAACACGUAUGAGAGUAACUGUUCAUACGUUGACGGUAUUUAACCAGAAAGUCACGGCUAACUACGUGCCAGCAGCCGCGGUAAUACGUAGGUGGCAAGCGUUAUCCGGAUUUAUUGGGCGUAAAGAGAGUGCAGGCGGUUUUCUAAGUCUGAUGUGAAAGCCUUCGGCUUAACCGGAGAAGUGCAUCGGAAACUGGAUAACUUGAGUGCAGAAGAGGGUAGUGGAACUCCAUGUGUAGCGGUGGAAUGCGUAGAUAUAUGGAAGAACACCAGUGGCGAAGGCGGCUACCUGGUCUGCAACUGACGCUGAGACUCGAAAGCAUGGGUAGCGAACAGGAUUAGAUACCCUGGUAGUCCAUGCCGUAAACGAUGAGUGCUAGGUGUUGGAGGGUUUCCGCCCUUCAGUGCCGGAGCUAACGCAUUAAGCACUCCGCCUGGGGAGUACGACCGCAAGGUUGAAACUCAAAGGAAUUGACGGGGGCCCGCACAAGCGGUGGAGCAUGUGGUUUAAUUCGAAGCUACGCGAAGAACCUUACCAGGUCUUGACAUCUUGCGCCAACCCUAGAGAUAGGGCGUUUCCUUCGGGAACGCAAUGACAGGUGGUGCAUGGUCGUCGUCAGCUCGUGUCGUGAGAUGUUGGGUUAAGUCCCGCAACGAGCGCAACCCUUGUUACUAGUUGCCAGCAUUAAGUUGGGCACUCUAGUGAGACUGCCGGUGACAAACCGGAGGAAGGUGGGGACGACGUCAGAUCAUCAUGCCCCUUAUGACCUGGGCUACACACGUGCUACAAUGGACGGUACAACGAGUCGCAAACUCGCGAGGGCAAGCAAAUCUCUUAAAACCGUUCUCAGUUCGGACUGCAGGCUGCAACUCGCCUGCACGAAGUCGGAAUCGCUAGUAAUCGCGGAUCAGCAUGCCGCGGUGAAUACGUUCCCGGGCCUUGUACACACCGCCCGUCACACCAUGAGAGUUUGUAACACCCAAAGUCGGUGGGGUAACCUUUUAGGAGCCAGCCGCCUAAGGUGGGACAGAUGAUUAGGGUG
This 1498-nucleotide ribosomal RNA is filed under the name Limosilactobacillus fermentum. Its description in RNAcentral is "bacterial SSU rRNA". It matches the Rfam family "Bacterial small subunit ribosomal RNA". The record is from RNAcentral. Lineage: Bacteria; Bacillati; Bacillota; Bacilli; Lactobacillales; Lactobacillaceae.